This 998-nucleotide ribosomal RNA is filed under the name uncultured bacterium. Its description in RNAcentral is "bacterial SSU rRNA". It matches the Rfam family "Bacterial small subunit ribosomal RNA", at positions 8 to 987 of the family's 1533-position model. The record is from RNAcentral.
AGAGUUUGAUCCUGGCUCAGGACGAACGCUGGCGGCGUGCCUAAUACAUGCAAGUAGAACGCUGAAGGAGGAGCUUGCUUCUCCGGAUGAUUUGCGAACGGGUGAGUAACGCGUAGGUAACCUGCCUGGUAGCGAGGGAUAACUAUUGGAAACGAUAGCUAAUACCGCAUAAGAGUACAUGUUGCAUGACAUUUGCUUAAAAGGUGCAAUUGCAUCACUACCAGAUGGACCUGCGUUGUAUUAGCUAGUUGGUGGGGUAACGGCUCACCCAGGCGACGAUACAUAGCCGACCUGACAGGGUGAUCGGCCACACUGGGACUGAGACACGGCCCAGACUCCUACGGGAGGCAGCAGUAGGGAAUCUUCGGUCAUGGACGGAAGUCUGACCGAGCAACGCCGCGUGAGUGAAGAAGGUUUUCGGAUCGUACAGCUCUGUUGUAAGAGAAGAACGAGUGUGAGAGUGGAAAGUUCACACUGUGACGGUAUCUUACCAGAAAGGGACGGCUAACUACGUGCCAGCAGCCGCGGUAAUACGUAGGUCCCGAGCGUUGUCCGGAUUUAUUGGGCGUAAAGCGAGCGCAGGCGGUUAGAUAAGUCUGAAGAUAAAGGCUGUGGCUUAUCCAUAGUACGCUUUGGAAACUGUUUAACUUGAGUGCAAGAGGAGAGAGUGAAAUCACAUGUGUAGCGGUGAAAUGCGUACAUAUAUGGAGGAACACCGGUGGCGAAAGCGGCUCUCUGUCUUGUAACUGACGCUGAGUCUCGAAAGCGUGCGGAGCAAACAGGAUUAGAUACCCUGGUAGUCCACGCCGUACACGAUGAGUGCUAGGUGUUAGACCCAUUUCUGGCGUUUAGUGCCGCAGCUAACGCAUUAAUCACUCCGCCUGGCGGAGUACGACCGACAGGUUGAUACUCACACGAAUUGAUUGACGGCCGCCCAAGCGGUGGAGCAUGUAGGUUUGAUUUCGUAGCACGCGAAGAUCUUACCUAGCUCUUGGACA